CAUGAAUAAAUUUGUAUUAUUCCUAUAGUGCUGAUGUGUAGAUGAUGAAUACACUGUCUUCCUCUAUUAUGGGCUAUGACUAUCAUGGUGUGUAAUGUUGUAUCCUUCUUUUUCCAAAUUCCUCAUUUCUUUGGCCCAGCUAGUGUCUAAUUCAAUUUUUGUUCAUCUUAUACUCAUAAAAAGCCAUACCCACUAGAUCCAGUCAAGUGUCUCCUUUUUCUUCCAAUGAUAUCGCCAGUUGUGGGACAAAAAGAAAACGAUACUAAAGUUAUAAUUAAUUAGUGAAAUAAUGUUUUUAGUGGCAACCUCAUCGUUGCAGUGCAUAUCCAAUUGAAAUUUGUAUUAUA
Molecule: long non-coding RNA, 347 nt
Filed under: Amphimedon queenslandica
Lineage: Eukaryota; Metazoa; Porifera; Demospongiae; Haplosclerida; Niphatidae
Description: uncharacterized LOC109587409, transcript variant X2
Source: RNAcentral